RNAcentral lists this ribosomal RNA (429 nucleotides) under Gemmatimonadota bacterium. RNAcentral's name for it is "Gemmatimonadetes bacterium partial 16S ribosomal RNA". It matches the Rfam family "Bacterial small subunit ribosomal RNA", at positions 355 to 776 of the family's 1533-position model. The record is from RNAcentral. Lineage: Bacteria; Pseudomonadati; Gemmatimonadota.
UAGGGAAUCUUCGGCAAUGGACGAAAGUCUGACCGAGCAACGCCGCGUGAGUGAAGAAGGUUUUCGGAUCGUAAAACUCUGUUGUUAGAGAAGAACAAGGACGUUAGUAACUGAACGUCCCCUGACGGUAUCUAACCAGAAAGCCACGGCUAACUACGUGCCAGCAGCCGCGGUAAUACGUAGGUGGCAAGCGUUGUCCGGAUUUAUUGGGCGUAAAGCGAGCGCAGGCGGUUUCUUAAGUCUGAUGUGAAAGCCCCCGGCUCAACCGGGGAGGGUCAUUUGAUACUGGGAGACUUGAGUUCAGAAGAGGAGAGUGGAAUUCCAUGUGUAGCGGUGAAAUGCGUAGAUAUAUGGAGGAAAACCAGUGGCGAAGGCGGCUCUCUGGUCUGUAACUGACGCUGAGGCUCGAAAGCGUGGGGAGCAAACAGG